AAACUGAUCAGCGCGAGCUUUAUGACAUUUGUAUAAUGAAUGUUCACUUCCUGACAGCUGCCGUUAAACGUUUGAGGCACGUCUGCAAAUAACCACCGAGCUGUUUAACGAAGCAAGAAACCGGCGGUGAGACGGGAUAUUUUCCUCAAGCUACUGUUAAGAAGUACAUCUUGAGUCCGCUGUAGCAAGGCAGAGGAAAACAGACUCGUUGCCGGUGGAGCAGAUGCACACAGUAAUCCGGGGUGAAAGGACACGAUGUUUUCCCUGCUGAAGAAGAAAAACUGUUUCUACAAGGUAACGUGGGUGUACAAGGAGAGAGUCACUCCAUGCUGGAAGAGUAAUAUGGACUACAGCCUGGAAGUCUGCCAGAGUCCAAAAAUGUGUCCCCCUCAAGAGGCAAUUACUCAAGAAACAGUGGAUUAAAGUGUUUU
Long non-coding RNA from Etheostoma cragini (Arkansas darter), 431 nucleotides. RefSeq lists it as uncharacterized. The record is from RefSeq and is a predicted model, not a curated record. The transcript has 3 exons. NCBI's taxonomy places the organism in Eukaryota, Metazoa, Chordata, Actinopteri, Perciformes, Percidae.